AGGAAGGAUCUGCAGUGAGAUCAAGAACAACCUAGUUUCCAUCAGAGAACAAGCACAACAGCAGCACGAGGUCAGGUAACAACAAGCUAAUACUAUAAGAUGCUUCUGGGUUCUGGAAGUGGAUGGAAUGGAUCGUGGCUGCAGCUCCAAGUCCAACAAGAGUAGAGUAGAUAGAUGCUUCAUGUAUGCCUGUAUGGCCGGCUUGUAGUUGUAGGUAAAAGCACACCGAACAAUUGUUGCUGUUGGCAGAAAACGAUUUUUGUUUUUUGUUUUU
Molecule: long non-coding RNA, 274 nt
Filed under: Panicum hallii
Lineage: Eukaryota; Viridiplantae; Streptophyta; Magnoliopsida; Poales; Poaceae
Description: long non-coding RNA (PHAL_LNC000474)
Source: RNAcentral